This 1048-nucleotide ribosomal RNA is filed under the name uncultured Caryophanales bacterium. RNAcentral's name for it is "bacterial SSU rRNA". It matches the Rfam family "Bacterial small subunit ribosomal RNA", at positions 336 to 1397 of the family's 1533-position model. Lineage: Bacteria; Bacillati; Bacillota; Bacilli; Caryophanales. The record is from RNAcentral.
CUCCUACGGGAGGCAGCAGUGGGGAAUAUUGCACAAUGGGCGCAAGCCUGAUGCAGCGACGCCGCGUGAGGGAUGACGGCCUUCGGGUUGUAAACCUCUUUCAGCAGGGAAGAAGCGAAAGUGACGGUACCUGCAGAAGAAGCGCCGGCUAACUACGUGCCAGCAGCCGCGGUAAUACGUAGGGCGCGAGCGUUGUCCGGAAUUAUUGGGCGUAAAGAGCUUGUAGGCGGUUUGUUGCGUCUGCUGUGAAAGACCGGGGCUUAACCCCGGUAUUGCAGUGGGUACGGGCAGACUAGAGUGCAGUAGGGGAGACUGGAAUUCCUGGUGUAGCGGUGAAAUGCGCAGAUAUCAGGAGGAACACCAGUGGCGAAGGCGACUUUCUGGUCUGUAACUGACACUGAGGCGCGAAAGCGUGGGGAGCAAACAGGAUUAGAUACCCUGGUAGUCCGCGCCGUAAACGAUGAGUGCUAAGUGUUAGAGGGUUUCCGCCCUUUAGUGCUGAAGUUAACGCAUUAAGCACUCCGCCUGGGGAGUACGGCCGCAAGGCUGAAACUCAAAGGAAUUGACGGGGGCCCGCACAAGCAGUGGAGCAUGUGGUUUAAUUCGAAGCAACGCGAAGAACCUUACCAGGACUUGACAUCCCAUAGACCAGUCUAGAGAUAGACUUUCCCUUCGGGGCUGUGGUGACAGGUGGUGCAUGGUUGUCGUCAGCUCGUGUCGUGAGAUGUUGGGUUAAGUCCCGCAACGAGCGCAACCCUUACUUUGUGUUGCCAGCAUUCAGUUGGGCACUCACAAGGGACUGCCGCCGAUAAGGCGGAGGAAGGUGGGGAUGACGUCAAAUCAUCAUGCCCCUUAUGUCCUGGGCUACACACGUGCUACAAUGGGCGGUACAACGGGAUGCGAAGCCGCGAGGUGGAGCCAAACCCUGAAAACCGUUCGUAGUUCGGAUUGUAGGCUGCAACUCGACUACAUGAAGCCGGAAUCGCUAGUAAUCGCGAAUCAGAAUGUCGCGGUGAAUACGUUUCCGGGCCUUGUACACACCGCCCGU